AACGAACGCUGGCGGCGUGCCUAACACAUGCAAGUCGAGCGCGAAAGUCCCUUCGGGGGCGAGUAGAGCGGCGGACGGGUGAGUAAUACAUAGGUAAUCUACCUUCGAGCUUGGGAUAACCCCGCGAAAGUGGGGCUAAUACCGGAUAAGACCACGCAACCAUGUUGCGGGGUAAAAGGUGGCUUAUUUUUAAAUGAGCUGUCACUUGAGGAUGAGCCUAUGGCCUAUCAGCUUGUUGGCGGGGUAAGAGCCCACCAAGGCUAUGACGGGUAGCUGGUCUGAGAGGACGACCAGCCACACUGGGACUGAGACACGGCCCAGACUCCUACGGGAGGCAGCAGUGGGGAAUAUUGGGCAAUGGGCGCAAGCCUGACCCAGCGACGCCGCGUGGGCGAUGAAGGCCUUCGGGUUGUAAAGCCCUGUCAUGCGGAAAGAACGACCCUGUGACGCAUACUCACAGGGAGUGACGGUACCGCAGGAGGAAGCACCGGCUAACUCCGUG
This 502-nucleotide ribosomal RNA is filed under the name uncultured bacterium. Its description in RNAcentral is "bacterial SSU rRNA". It matches the Rfam family "Bacterial small subunit ribosomal RNA", at positions 29 to 507 of the family's 1533-position model. The record is from RNAcentral.